Molecule: long non-coding RNA, 502 nt
Organism: Rhipicephalus sanguineus (brown dog tick)
Lineage: Eukaryota; Metazoa; Arthropoda; Arachnida; Ixodida; Ixodidae
Exons: 3
Source: RefSeq, a predicted model, not a curated record
UCGCGCACCGCUUAGCGAACGUAAAACUCCAAUACGACGUGGUUCAUGCCGUUCCGCUCCUCGGUCACAACAGUGCGCACAGGGUAUGGAAUAAACGAUGGUAUGCAAAUGUCAUAGCUAGAGAGAAGAAGACGUCAUGUACGUUCCCGCAACCUCGGCAAAAUAGGGUCACCUGUUACAAUUGCUAUAAAGUAUGGUCUAUGCCGCCAACUGGAUCGACGUACUGGGUCAGAAGACGACGACGCAACGCGCUACUUCUAUUGUUCAAUUCAAAACCAAGAGGCAAGUUACGAAAGACGUCAUGUGAGCCGAAAAGGUGGCAUCACGCGUACAGAAGCGAAACCCAUAUAAAGGUGACAUUGGCAGUUUCUUUUUAUUUAUUUUUUUGCCCACUGUCCUCCUUUGUCUGCUAGAUGAGAUUUUUUUUCUUAUUCGCUUCUUUUGCUUAGUGCUCGUUUGGCGUCACUGAAUCCAACCACUACAAGUAUCCAACCACUACAAG